This 208-nucleotide ribosomal RNA is filed under the name uncultured bacterium. RNAcentral's name for it is "partial 16S ribosomal RNA". It matches the Rfam family "Bacterial small subunit ribosomal RNA", at positions 568 to 775 of the family's 1533-position model. The record is from RNAcentral.
UGCGUAGGUGGUCUAUUAAGUUGGAUGUGAAACCCCCGGGCUUAACCUGGGAACUGCAUCCAAUACUGGAAGACUAGAGUGCAGGAGAGGAAAGCGGAAUUCCUAGUGUAGCGGUGAAAUGCGUAGAUAUUAGGAGGAACACCAGUGGCGAAGGCGGCUUUCUGGACUGUAACUGACACUGAGGCACGAAAGCGUGGGUAGCAAACAG